This 2145-nucleotide long non-coding RNA is filed under the name Capsicum annuum. RNAcentral's name for it is "long non-coding RNA (CANN_LNC020012)". Lineage: Eukaryota; Viridiplantae; Streptophyta; Magnoliopsida; Solanales; Solanaceae. The record is from RNAcentral.
CACCCAAAUAAAAUUUAACACAUCACACCCCUACCCCUACCCUACCUUACUACCCUACCCCACGUACCUCCUUCACAUUUUUCUUCUUUUUGUAACAAACCAUAGCAGAAUAAGGGACACAUACACAUUGAGGAGAAAGGAUCCAAAAUAGACAUCACACACAAUAUAAGGGGAGAGAGAUUCCAUCUCCGGGGGGGGGGGGGUCUUUCUUCCAUUUUCAAAGAACACACGCACAUAGAGCCAUAAAAUUCUUCAUAUUUUUCCUUCUUUCAUAUACACCCACACCACACACACAGAACAUGCACGCAACAAUAUACUCUUACCCACAUAGAGAUCCAAAUCAAGAGAGUGGUAGGAUAGAGGAAAGAGACGCGAGGGAGAUAGCGGAAAAGGGGGAAGUGAUUGGAAAAAAGGAACUGAGCGAGAGAGAGGGGAAAAAAGAUGUAGGCUGACUAUUUCCGGUGAUCUUUCGCUGAAAACUAGCCAAAAUCCGACACUGGAGAAUACCAUUGAUCUCUAAAAUCACCUAAAAAUUGACCAAAAUUCAGUUCAGGUGAGGUUUUCUUCAUUUUUUUGGUGAAUUCCGUUAAAGUUUUGUUAGAAAACGACAAACCAGCUGACUGUUCCUAACCAACUACCACCGUAAAUAGUCAAAACUACCAUAAACAGCUCGGCUCCAAUGAAAUUGAACAGAAAAUGAGCUACACAGUGACGUUUAUGCAUGAAAUCGGGUUCAGGUGUGGUCUAUCUUUCGCGAUAUCUAUUCAACUCAACUUGGUUUUUGAUUUCGUGAUUUCCCUAUUGGGUUCUGAUUUGAACGGAGCUUAGGUCAAAGUUUGUUGAUUUGGGGAUCGUAUAUGAGGUUCGAGUCGAGGUUUUUCUGUUGUGGGUCUAUCUUCAAUAUAUCGAAACCGACAAUUGAGGUCCAAUUCUAUUCCUUUUCUUUAAUUUCAUUGUUUUCUUAUAUUUGGUGUGUUGGAUUGAAUGUGUGUCUUGUUUGAUCUUUGUUGGUGAUGAAUGCGUAUUUAUUUUGAUUCUUUGUUAACGGUUUAAUUCGGAAUAAAUAUCAAUGUCGUUAAACACAAUAGUAUCAUGAUAGGGUGAAUUGGUAGGCAAAUGGUCGGCCGGGUAGGCAAAUUGAGGAAUAACGAUUUGUUGAGAAUGCCCCGAAGAAUUUGUAUUGAUUUAUCCGGGGAAUGCCUCGAAGUAUUCUGUACUCGAAGGACGUCCGUGAUGAAGGUCCGAGGCAUCGGGUAAGGCAUUGGAGCAUAGUUUAGGUUAGCGUAGGUUACAUUUCAGUAUCUUUUAUUUUGGUUUUGUAAUAAAUUAGACUGGACACUGUAUUUUUGGAUCUUGUUUUGUUUUCUUUUGUUGGUUGUUUGAUUGUUCAGCGUGAUUUUGUGUGAUUUAUACAUUCAUAGUGUCAAAUUAGCUGACAUGCUCCCCCAAGUGACCGUGGUUAAACCACGGGAUUGGGAGAUGCCUAACACUUUCCCCUCAGUCAACCGAAUUCCAUAAUCGGAAUCUCUAUUCGCGAAUCAGUUUUAGAGUCAAAACCUUUUUGAAAAAGGAUUUGCAAAGAUGACUUGGCACACCCGAUUAUGCCAAGUGGCGACUCUGAGUUUAAAUGUAAAUAAUCCUUUUUGAAAUAAUUUUUUUUAUUUUUUUGUCACUUUAAUAAUAAAAGCCCUUUCAAAACUUUAAAAUCUUAAUCUUUUUGGAGUUAAAAAAGGGGUGUGACACCUUUCAUACAACAUCGGUGACAAAUGUUAACUUUACCCUUUGAAGGAUUAUUUUGAGAACCUUUCUUAUUCUCUUGUUUAUUUCCAUCAUUAUGACGAUAAUUAUUUCUUCCUUUUCCACGUCCUCGCCCACGUCCACGACUAUGGCCUUGACCACGAUUUCGAUAAUAAUUUUGCCUUAUUUCAGGCUGAUCAUACGCUGCUACAAUAUUCGCUUCAGGGAAUGAAGCAGAUCCAGUGGGACGAGCUUCAUGAUUUUUCAUUCACAAAGUAUUAUUCUGCUCUGCCACAAGUAGGCUUGUAAUCAAUUCAGAAUAUUUAUUAAAUCCCUUUUCACGAUAUUGCUGUUGUAACAAUACAUUAAAAGCAUGAAAAGUGGAAAAAGUUUUCUCUAGUAAGUCCU